CAUUUAUUAGAACAAAACCAAUUGGCUUCGGCCAUCAAUUGGUGAAUCUGAAUAACUACGCUGAUCGCAUGGUCUCGCACCGGCGACAUAUCCUUCAAGUGUCUGCCUUAUCAACUGUCGAUGGUAGUUUAUAUGACUACCAUGGUUGUAACGGGUAACGGAGAAUAAGGGUUCGACUCCGGAGAGGGAGCCUGAGAAACGGCUACCACAUCCAAGGAAGGCAGCAGGCGCGCAAAUUACCCACUCUCAGAACGAGGAGGUAGUGACGAAAAAUAACGAGACAGUUCUCUACGAGGUCUGUCAUCGGAAUGGGUACAAUUUAAACCCUUUAACGAGGAUCUAUUGGAGGGCAAGUCUGGUGCCAGCAGCCGCGGUAACUCCAGCUCCAAUAGCGUAUAUUAAAGUUGUUGCAGUUAAAAAGCUCGUAGUCGAACUUCGGGCCUGGCGGGACGGUCUGCCUUACGGUAUGCACUGUCUGGCCGGGUCUUACCCCUUGGUGAGGCUGUAUGCCCUUUACUGGGUGUGCAGUGGAACCAGGAAUUUUACCUUGAGAAAAUUAGAGUGUUCAAAGCAGGC
This 576-nucleotide ribosomal RNA is filed under the name uncultured eukaryote. RNAcentral's name for it is "bacterial SSU rRNA". It matches the Rfam family "Eukaryotic small subunit ribosomal RNA", at positions 203 to 785 of the family's 1831-position model. The record is from RNAcentral.